RNAcentral lists this ribosomal RNA (497 nucleotides) under uncultured bacterium. RNAcentral's name for it is "partial 16S ribosomal RNA". It matches the Rfam family "Bacterial small subunit ribosomal RNA", at positions 38 to 507 of the family's 1533-position model. The record is from RNAcentral.
GGGGGGGGGGGGGGGGGUGGGUGGUGGGUGGGGGUCGGGCGGGCGGAGGAGGAGCGGGCUGCUCGGACGGUAGCGGCGGACGGGUGAGUAACCCGUGGGGAACCUACCUAUAAGACUGGGGUAACUUCGGGGAACCGGAGCUAGUACCCGAUAAUAUAUUUAACCGCAUGGUUAAAUAUUGCACGACGGUUUUGCUGUCCCUUAUAGAUGGAUCCGCUCCGCAUUAGCUAGUGGGUAAGGGAACGGCUUACCAAGGCGACGAUUCGUAGCCGACCUGAGAGGGGGAGCGGCCACACUGGAACUGAGACACGGUCCAGACUCCUAAGGGAGGCAGCAGUAGGGAAUCGUACGCAAUGGGCGAAAGCCUGACGGAGCAACGCCGCGUGAGUGAUGAAGGUCUUCGGAUCGUAAAACUCUGUUAUUAGGGAAGAACAAAUGUGUAAGUAACUAUGCACGUCUUGACGGUACCUAAUCAGAAAGCCACGGCUAACUACGUG